This 1390-nucleotide ribosomal RNA is filed under the name Alexandrium minutum. RNAcentral's name for it is "LSU rRNA". It matches the Rfam family "Eukaryotic large subunit ribosomal RNA", at positions 69 to 1414 of the family's 3401-position model. The record is from RNAcentral. Lineage: Eukaryota; Dinophyceae; Gonyaulacales; Pyrocystaceae.
AUGGGAUUCCUUAAGUAAUUGCGAAUGAACAAGGAAAUGCUCAGCUUGAAAAAUGGGGCCUUUGGCUUUGAAUUGUAAUUUUGAAAUGUAUUGCCAAUGGAGGCGCAGGUGCAAGCCUAUUGAAAGAAAGCGUCAAUGAGGGUGAGAUUCCUUUUUGUCAUUUGCAGUCCUCCGUGCACGGUAUAUAUUUGACGAGUCACACUCCUCGGCAUUGGAAUGCAAAGUGGGUGGUAAAUUCCAUGUAAAGGUAAAUAUAUUAUUGAGACUGAUAGCAAACAAGUACCAUGAGGGAAAUAUGAAAAGGACUUUGAAAAGAGAAUUAAAAGAGUCUGCAUUUGCUGAACAGAAAGCAAACAGAAUUGAUUUUACUUGGUGAGAUUGUUGUGCUUACUCUAUCAUUUAUAUGGUUGAUGUGGGUGCGAUGGUUCUUACCUUGAAUGUCAGCUUCUAUUUCUGCAAAUCAUUACCCUUGCACAUGAAUGGUAAUUUGCCUGCGGGUAUUGGAAUGCAUGUGUUUGCAAUGAUUUGUGAUUUGACGCAUGUGUUUGGUGAAAUUUGUAUAUGCUCUUUUGUCGAAGGGGAAAGCUUACUUUUUUGAGCAUUGCAAGCCCUUACACAUCAGUGCUGGCAAAAUGUUUCUGCUUGACCCGUCUUGAAACACGGACCAAGGAGUCUAACAGAUGUGCAAGUUCGUGGGUGGCAAACCUUUUUGCGCAAUGAAAGUAUUGGCUGGGAUACUUGCACCAGCAGCCGACCAAUUAGCAGACAGAGGUUUGAGUUUGAGCAUAUCUAUUAGGACCCGAAAGAUGGUGAACUAUGCCUGAACAGAAUGAAUUCAGAGGAAACUCUGAUGGAGGUUCGUAUCGAUACUGACGUGCAAAUCGUUCGUCAUACUUGGGUAUAGGGGCGAAAGACUAAUCGAACCAUCUAGUAGCUGGUUCCCUCCGAAGUUUCCCUCAGGAUAGCUGGAGUUGCACAGUUUUAUCAGGUAAAGCGAAUGAUUAGAGGAAUUGGGGACACGCUGUCCUUGACCUAUUCUCAAACUUUAAAUGGGUAAGAUGCAAUGGUUGCUUUAUUGAACUUUUGGAAUAAAUGGCAAUAUCAGGUGGGCCAUUUUUGGUAAGCAGAACUGGCGAUGAGGGAUGAACCUAACGUUGGGUUAAGGUGCUUAAUUGCUUGCUCAUUAGAUACCAGAAAGGGUGUUGGUUCAUUUUAACAGCAGGACGGUGGUCAUGGAAGUCGAAAUCCGCUAAGGAGUGUGUAACAACUCACCUGCCGAAUGGACUAGCCCCGAAAAUGGAUGGCGCUCAAKCGGGUGACCGAUACCCAACCACNGNNNCNAAUAGUGUCAGUGUGUAGGAGGGCAUGGCGGUUUGUGAUGCAGCCUUUG